Molecule: ribosomal RNA, 471 nt
Filed under: uncultured Glaciimonas sp.
Lineage: Bacteria; Pseudomonadati; Pseudomonadota; Betaproteobacteria; Burkholderiales; Oxalobacteraceae
Description: bacterial SSU rRNA
Rfam family: Bacterial small subunit ribosomal RNA
Source: RNAcentral
ACAGGUGUGAAUCCCCGGGCUUACCUGGGAAUGCAUUGUGACUGCACGGCUAGAGUGUGUCAGAGGGGGUAGAAUUCCACGUGUAGCAGUGAAAGCGUAGAGAUGUGGAGGAAUACGAUGGCGAAGGCAGCCCCCUGGGAUAACACUGACGCUCAUGCACGAAAGCGUGGGGAGCAAACAGGAUUAGAUACCCUGGUAGUCCACGCCCUAAACGAUGUCUACUAGUUGUCGGGUCUUAAUUGACUUGGUAACGCAGCUAACGCGUGAAGUAGACCGCCUGGGGAGUACGGUCGCAAGAUUAAAACUCAAAGGAAUUGACGGGGACCCGCACAAGCGGUGGAUGAUGUGGAUUAAUUCGAUGCAACGCGAAAAACCUUACCUACCCUUGACAUGUACGGAAUCCUUCAGAGAUGAGGGAGUGCUCGAAAGAGAACCAGUACACAGGUGCUGCAUGGCUGUCGUCAGCUCGUG